UACGUAGGGGGCAAGCGUUGUCCGGAUUUAUUGGGCGUAAAGAGCGUGUAGGCGGCCAAGCAGGUCCGCUGUGAAAACUCGAGGCUCAACCUCGAGACGUCGGUGGAAACCGUUUGGCUAGAGUCCGGAAGAGGAGAGUGGAAUUCCCGGUGUAGUGGUGAAAUGCGUAGAUAUCGGGAGGAACACCAGUGGCGAAGGCGACUACCUGGCCUGUUCUUGACGCUGAGGCGCGAAAGCUAGGGGAGCAAACGGG
This 253-nucleotide ribosomal RNA is filed under the name uncultured bacterium. RNAcentral's name for it is "partial 16S ribosomal RNA". It matches the Rfam family "Bacterial small subunit ribosomal RNA", at positions 524 to 776 of the family's 1533-position model. The record is from RNAcentral.